Molecule: non-coding RNA, 732 nt
Organism: Epinephelus lanceolatus (giant grouper)
Lineage: Eukaryota; Metazoa; Chordata; Actinopteri; Perciformes; Serranidae
Source: RefSeq, a predicted model, not a curated record
UUUCCACUAAGGCAGCAGACCAGGUACUGGACAUGGUGGAUCUGCAGGGUCUGCUAGCAGCUCCGAAGAGAAAGAGACUCAACUUCAGAUCACAACAAUUAGGACCUGUGGAAAUCACCCCGUAGUUCCUAAUGGUGAUGUUGUGGAAAACAAUCCAAUGUUUUUGAGGUACCAGUGUGCUGCAUUUUACAAACGAACGGGUCCACAGAGUGUGGUGUGUUACAGCAACGGGAAAUGGUCAGAAACACCCACCUGCAAAGCUGCCUUCUGUUCUGUGGACACUGGUGACUAUCCUGAAUUAAUACCUGCUGGAGUUAAAUAUAUAAAAGAGGGUGAGAAGGCGAGAUUGGAAUGUGUGCAUCAGGAGCGAUGGUGGACGACUCAUUAUUCUGUGGCUCGCUGCAAUAAUGGAAGAAAGACACUUUCCAGAUGUUGUGACUGGUGGGACCUGAAGAGGGACAUUUGCUAAAGCUGUUUCACCAAGAGGAAGAUAACUGCCACCUUUGGAUUUGCUCACCACCGACUGAAAACAGCCUGGAAACCUUUCAGAGACGACUAAGUUACGAUUAUGCUGUUACACACUGUGUUUUUAUAUUAAUCUGCUUACAUCAUUUAGAAGCAAUGCUGUGCUUAAAGCUGCAAAAAUUAACUCAACAUUUAAAUAUGGUGUGUAAUUGACAUGCAGGCCUCAAUAAAGUCUUCUGCUGAGGUUUCAACGCUGUUCUUUCUAAA